This is a long non-coding RNA of Eriocheir sinensis (Chinese mitten crab), 327 nucleotides long. RefSeq lists it as uncharacterized. Lineage: Eukaryota; Metazoa; Arthropoda; Malacostraca; Decapoda; Varunidae. The transcript has 3 exons. The record is from RefSeq and is a predicted model, not a curated record.
UGGUCGUUGAAAGCCUUCCCUUCCUGGGGAGAGGGAAGGGGAGGUGUGUGUUGUAUGUUGUGUUCUGUGUAUUCCGUGGUGUGGUGUGGUUGUUGAAAGCCUUCUCUUCCUGGGGAGAGGGAAGGGGAGGUGUGUGUUGUAUGUUGUGUUCUGUGUAUUCCGUGGUGUGGUGUGGUCGUUGAAAGCCUUCUCUUCCUGGGGAGAGGGAAGGGGAGGUGUGUGUUGUGUGCUGUGUUCUGUGUGUUGCGUGGUGUGGUGUAGUCGUUGAAAGCCUUCUCUUCCUGGGGAGAGGGAAGGGGAGGUGUGUGUUGUGUGCUGUGUUCUGUG